UCUGAUGACGCUGGCGGCGUGCCUAAUACAUGCAAGUCGAGCGAACGGACGAGAAGCUUGCUUCUCUGAUGUUAGCGGCGGACGGGUGAGUAACACGUGGAUAACCUACCUAUAAGACUGGGAUAACUUCGGGAAACCGGAGCUAAUACCGGAUAAUAUUUUGAACCGCAUGGUUCAAAAGUGAAAGACGGUCUUGCUGUCACUUAUAGAUGGAUCCGCGCUGCAUUAGCUAGUUGGUAAGGUAACGGCUUACCAAGGCAACGAUGCAUAGCCGACCUGAGAGGGUGAUCGGCCACACUGGAACUGAGACACGGUCCAGACUCCUACGGGAGGCAGCAGUAGGGAAUCUUCCGCAAUGGGCGAAAGCCUGACGGAGCAACGCCGCGUGAGUGAUGAAGGUCUUCGGAUCGUAAAACUCUGUUAUUAGGGAAGAACAUAUGUGUAAGUAACUGUGCACAUCUUGACGGUACCUAAUCAGAAAGCCACGGCUAACUACGUGCCAGCAGCCGCGGUAAUACGUAGGUGGCAAGCGUUAUCCGGAAUUAUUGGGCGUAAAGCGCGCGUAGGCGGUUUUUUAAGUCUGAUGUGAAAGCCCACGGCUCAACCGUGGAGGGUCAUUGGAAACUGGAAAACUUGAGUGCAGAAGAGGAAAGUGGAAUUCCAUGUGUAGCGGUGAAAUGCGCAGAGAUAUGGAGGAACACCAGUGGCGAAGGCGACUUUCUGGUCUGUAACUGACGCUGAUGUGCGAAAGCGUGGGGAUCAAACAGGAUUAGAUACCCUGGUAGUCCACGCCGUAAACGAUGAGUGCUAAGUGUUAGGGGGUUUCCGCCCCUUAGUGCUGCAGCUAACGCAUUAAGCACUCCGCCUGGGGAGUACGACCGCAAGGUUGAAACUCAAAGGAAUUGACGGGGACCCGCACAAGCGGUGGAGCAUGUGGUUUAAUUCGAAGCAACGCGAAGAACCUUACCAAAUCUUGACAUCCUUUGACAACUCUAGAGAUAGAGCUUUCCCCUUCGGGGGACAAAGUGACAGGUGGUGCAUGGUUGUCGUCAGCUCGUGUCGUGAGAUGUUGGGUUAAGUCCCGCAACGAGCGCAACCCUUAAGCUUAGUUGCCAUCAUUAAGUUGGGCACUCUAAGUUGACUGCCGGUGACAAACCGGAGGAAGGUGGGGAUGACGUCAAAUCAUCAUGCCCCUUAUGAUUUGGGCUACACACGUGCUACAAUGGACAAUACAAAGGGCAGCGAAACCGCGAGGUCAAGCAAAUCCCAUAAAGUUGUUCUCAGUUCGGAUUGUAGUCUGCAACUCGACUACAUGAAGCUGGAAUCGCUAGUAAUCGUAGAUCAGCAUGCUACGGUGAAUACGUUCCCGGGUCUUGUACACACCGCCCGUCACACCACGAGAGUUUGUAACACCCGAAGCCGGUGGAGUAACCUUUUAGGAGCUAGCCGUCGAAGGUGGGACAAAGAUU
RNAcentral lists this ribosomal RNA (1469 nucleotides) under Staphylococcus aureus. RNAcentral's name for it is "bacterial SSU rRNA". It matches the Rfam family "Bacterial small subunit ribosomal RNA". Lineage: Bacteria; Bacillati; Bacillota; Bacilli; Caryophanales; Staphylococcaceae. The record is from RNAcentral.